Gambusia affinis (western mosquitofish) is the source of this 2982-nucleotide long non-coding RNA. RefSeq lists it as uncharacterized. The transcript has 5 exons. The record is from RefSeq and is a predicted model, not a curated record. NCBI's taxonomy places the organism in Eukaryota, Metazoa, Chordata, Actinopteri, Cyprinodontiformes, Poeciliidae.
UCAAGGCAUGACGGAUUUCAACAGGGAUUCUGAUAGCGAGACCAAGACAAAAGCAAUAAAAGCAUUUACAAGACCAUCGCAGUAAUCAUAAUGUAGUCGUUGCUGUGGUCGCUCAUUAUCAAGCUAACCUCUAACUCUGCUCCACAGUAACUGCUUGUGCUGCGGACCGGCCGGCAACAGGUUAAGAUGGAGAAACAUUGACGCCUGCAUUCAUCCAUCUAAACGUCGGCAUUAGCUGCAGGCAGACUCUUUCAGUCUUGCCAUCAAAACCUGCCAGAUUCCAUUUUCAAGCUGAUGAGCAAGAUUCUCAUGGUGUGAUGCUGCAAUCUCAACUUUCCAUAGUGGGGGGUGAAGUGAAAGGCAGAGCACGGUCAGCCUAAUAAGAGCCAGAUGGAUUACCUCAUCAAUCAAAGUUCCCAGAAUCCCGUCCUCUGUUUGUGUGUGCGUGCAUCCCACCAGUGCUGUGUCUCUCAUCAAAGAAGGGAAGAUGCCUCCUCCUCCUCUGUUGUUCUCCGGCUCUCGACCUUGAACCCUUCAGCCUUGGUGACAAUGACCAAGACCCUCAGGCAAACAUGAACUCCCUGAACCCGUCCACACCAUUCAUAACCAGUCACCUCCUCACACAAGGUCCCCUUCCUCUGCUUUAAUGAUGGAGGUACACCCCCACUGCAUUGACACUGUUGCAUAAGCAUGCGUGUGCAUGUGUGUGGGAGAUUGGGUGUGUUGGUUGUUAAUGCAGGCAAAGGGUGGAACUUCCUUAACAUGUGCUGCUGUCUUUAAAUAGCUGUACGAAUGAGGGCUUUGGCAAAUUUGUUUUGUACUUUUGCACAAAAAUAGCUAGAUUACACCCUAUGUAGUAUCAGCGUUUCCGUACUUAUCAAGAAAGGAAAGAUCCUUUUCAGUUUUUUUUAGAUAAACCUUUGAUUUACAUUUUUUAAAAAUUAUUUUCCUUCCGUGUGUCAAAAAAAAAAGGAAGCAACACACAAUAUACUCACUAAACAAUAUCAGGAAAUCCUCCACAAAUGCAAAAUCACACUUAAAAGCAUGUGCAUGUAUUAAGUGAACCACAAAAACAACUUCAUUACCCAGGAGGUAAUAGGUAUAAAGCCACAGGCCAGAACACUCUUUGUGGAUGGGUGGGGGCUGGGUUCCCUAGCAACAGGCGUGUUGAUAUCCAAACAAUGUUCAUGUCGUCAGAGUGUAGCUGGUCGGGCCAGACCGAGGUUCUGCUGAGUGAGACAAUGUCACUGUGUGUUCCCGAAUGCCAGCAAAUGAAAAGAGGCAGAUAGACCUCUUGACUGGAAGACAGCAGGGCGGGAUGCAAAGUUCAAAGUGUCUACAUGACGCUUUCAACGAUGGCAGAGAAAUCUUUUCAUUUUUUAACUCCACAAAGUUUCCAUACACUCAUGGCGUUCAUUUAGAUCACACAAAACGUUUCUGUUAAAUAACAUCUUUGAAUCUUUUUGACAAAAAAUUUGGAUAUAUAAUCCCAGUCAGCCGUUUACAUGCAGUCAUCAUUCUAGUUCUACCUGUAAAUUCUUCCUGUAAACAUGUUUACAAACAGUGUUCAUAACAACAAUAAUAAUAGCAGCAAUUGUCAUUUUUUAUUAUUGUUAUCAUAAUAAUGGGAAUAAAUGUAGCCAUUAAGCUUCAAACUAAUCACCCUCAGCAAUUUGUACCUCAAUCCUAAUCCGACUGUUGCCAUCAACAGUAGCGUGAAAAUAUCUGAGCAGGAAUUGCAUUCCAAACAAUGAAAAAUCUGUACAUUUAAGCGUAUGUUUGUAAUUAUUUGUUUAUUAUGAUUAUUGUCAUUCAGAAUUCAUAUUAUGCACCAUCAAUUAUAUCAAGAGGUCUUUUCUGUGAAGAGAGCCUCAAAAUAUAAUACUGCUGUUAGCAUGAUUUAUAGAUUGGGCAAGUGGAUUAUUCUGGAGUUGUAAAGAAACCACGAGCUUUCUGUAGACAUCAACAUGCAUGAUGUACAAUGCAGGAUGGGUCUUUGAUACCUUUAUACCAGAACUGGAAGGUUUCAUUUAAAAUAACUGGUUUCUUAAAGUGGGCCUCACUUUUUAACAUAGUCCAAACUUUUUCAUAUAAUAGGGCGAGGGCCUGGGCCUUUCUCCAAGAUCAAUGUCAGUCGGAUUUAUCCUUUCCAAAAUCAGUUCUGAUGUUUGUUUUGGAUCAUUGUUCUGUUGCAACACCUGUCGAUCUGAAAGCUGUUGAACUGAGGUGAAGCUGAAGUAUUUGGAAGCAGCCCUACAUCCACUUUGUGCGAUGAACCAGGAGGAGUGAAACAAACCCUCAACUGGAUGCUUCCUCUGUAUUGUCCAUUUCUCCAGAGGGAAUUACGGCAUUACUUCCUAAACGGAAAGGUACAAAUUUGAGAUUCCUUUCAAUAUAUGUAACACAUAAUACAAGACAAUUUUUGUAAUUAUUAUUUUUUUAGAAAUGUAGAUACACUGUAGAAAUACAGAAAAUGUCUGUUUUUAAGUAGUAGAAGUGUUUGUGAAUGCACCUGGAGAUACACUGUAAAAAUACUAAAUAAUCUGUUUUGUCAAUAAAUUUGACGUAAGAAACUCUUAAGCAAAGAAAAAAGUCAAUUUUAGAGUUGAUGGAAAAGUUCAUACUGUCAAUGGAAAGUGUCCUAAUAAUUUUCUGUCAGGAAAGAAUGUUUUCAAAUAAUUUUUUCUUAUAGUGAAUUGGUUCUUGUCAGGCACCUUCUCGGUCUUCCAGUUCAUGACCCUGGUGUUCGUUAAUUAUUAAUAUUUAUUCUGAGUAUUUUCUUUCCUCAGUGUGAAACAGUUUGAUUCACUUUUCCAAUUUUAUUUAUAAGAAUGGUUAAAUGUCCAGUCAGACAACAAGAGGAACCUGAUCUACCUACCGAGAGAUGUUUAGCCAACAUUAGUGUAAGUGAACGCAGACGCUUAGUCUGUUUCCAUACUGUAUAUAUGGUUUAACAAGUGGAAUAAAUUUACACUUCCAAAC